AGUUCUGGCAAAGAGAUUUGCAGAGUGUCAGGUGACCGGCAAAGAGAUCUGCAAAGUGUCAGUUGAAGAUGACGGGAGGGAUCGCAGAGGAAUUAGUGACUGGAGAAUAGCAUGCAGGGGCCCCGUCCGCUUGCAGCACCGUUGGGCGAUAUGUGAGCGGGUCUCCCCCGACUGGAACGCAAGCUGGAAGUUGCUUAGCACCAUCCGCCUGUGCUUACCCGGAAGUGAGGUACCUGCGGACAUCCAGCGGUUGCGGCAGUGAAAGAUGGAGGCGACGGGAAGACUGUCCUGGUAUCAGCAGGUAUUAAGGCACAAACCAGAGUGGGGUCACAGUCCCGUCCUGUGAAGUGGCAGUAUCGGAUUGGAUCGUGAGCGGAGUGCAAGCGGAGCCUGGUGGGAAGAAGGAGGGGUGAAAAAAGAGUUGAAAAGAAGCCACAGUGCAGGCGCGAAUUGAGCAGUGGAGCAGGAAAGCUGAAUGGUGUGAGGCUGGUGGUCACAAAGGGCAAUGGAGAGCAGCACUGCAGAACUAAGGCAGCGGGGUACUUCCAGCUGGUGAAGAGAACCGAGAGAGUAGGCGUGAGACAUUGCAUCUGGUAACCAAACACAGCUAGGCCUAGGAUGAGGCAUGGAUGUCACGGCCAUCUUGAGAGAGCAGAAACCACAUAGAAAGGACCAAUGAGAGAGCGGUAUAACUUGAGAGGUUUGGAGUGAGUAACAGAAACUCCUCUGAGGCAGUUGCCAUUUUGGGAGGGACGUUUUCAAUACAGAGCUGCAGGAAGACGGAGGACAGCAGCAGAACAGCGGGGAUGGAGGCGGUCAGGCAGCGGCAUGAGCAUCCCAUGCCCUACUGAAAGCAGCAGCAAUGGGGGAGAAAAGAAAGGAAUCCCCUGACAACGAGCAGAACCCCUGCCCUGCUAACUAACAGGUACCUGCAUAAUUAUUGUGUGGCCAUAAUAUGGUGUCAGGGGCAUUACUGUGGAGACUUAAUAUGGUGCAAGGGGCAUAAAAUGGUGUUGCUCUGUGUCUGUA
Pseudophryne corroboree (corroboree frog) is the source of this 1029-nucleotide long non-coding RNA. RefSeq lists it as uncharacterized. The record is from RefSeq and is a predicted model, not a curated record. NCBI's taxonomy places the organism in Eukaryota, Metazoa, Chordata, Amphibia, Anura, Myobatrachidae. The transcript is spliced from 3 exons.